Molecule: long non-coding RNA, 474 nt
Organism: Carcharodon carcharias (great white shark)
Lineage: Eukaryota; Metazoa; Chordata; Chondrichthyes; Lamniformes; Lamnidae
Exons: 4
Source: RefSeq, a predicted model, not a curated record
UUGUCCAGUUCCAACUCCUACGCUCCACUGGGAGGGAGGUGUGACCAGGAGAACGAUUACUAUGAAGGCCACCUUCAUAUCUGCUGCUCAAAGUGUCCACCAGGUCAAUAUGCAUUACAGCGAUGUACCAGACAGUCCGAUACUCUGUGUGCCGUCUGCCGAGAGGGGGAGUUCACCGAGUUCUGGAAUUAUGUCCGCGAGUGUCAAAUUUGCCCCUCCUGUGAUCACCGGAGGGGGCUGGUAGUGAGGCAGAACUGCACGAGUCAACACAAAACCGAGUGUGAGUGUGCCCAGGGACAUCACUGCGUCGAAGGGCAGCGCUGCUCGGAGUGUGAGCGGCACACAGAAUGUCCUCCGGGGCAAGAAGAGGCACAACAAGGCUCUAACCUCGUCGACACUACUUGCCGGGAAUGCCCUCCCGGAACAUUUCGGAACAACAUUUCCCUGGAUAAAUGUCAAAAACACACAAAGUAA